UUAAAACUCCACCCAACUCAUAGCGGCCUGAGGGUUUUCUUCACUCUGAUUAUUCUGUCUCAUUUGAGAUCUCAAGUAUGUAGGAAGCAUUUAUGGUCCGACUUUCCAUUUUUAUUUUCCCAAAAAGGAAACUUGUCAUAGAUGAUUACUAAAUAUUAAUUAGCCCUGAAGGAGUGAGAAAUGAAUAGGAUAAUCAUUUUCAGUCAAGGGAAAAGCAGUCAUUCAGACCAUGAAGUCGACGCUGUGGUGUUUACUGAAGAGACCUUUGAGUAUAGUGUUUGGUCCCUGCUAUAGAAAGGACAAGAAGCUGUGAAGCACCUGAAAAGUUUCAAUUUCAGAAUAAAAUAAUACUGCAGUGGCAACAUGACCAGCUGCUUCAUCCUCCUGCAGCCAGGUGCUCUACACUAGGAUAAACCGUAUCCCUCUUGAACCGUGAGUCCAAUCACCCAAUCCAAAAAUAAACAAACAAAGAAAUAAACAUCUUUUCUUGGC
Non-coding RNA from Rattus norvegicus (Norway rat), 492 nucleotides. The record is from RefSeq and is a predicted model, not a curated record. NCBI's taxonomy places the organism in Eukaryota, Metazoa, Chordata, Mammalia, Rodentia, Muridae.